RNAcentral lists this ribosomal RNA (399 nucleotides) under uncultured bacterium. RNAcentral's name for it is "bacterial SSU rRNA". It matches the Rfam family "Bacterial small subunit ribosomal RNA", at positions 355 to 770 of the family's 1533-position model. The record is from RNAcentral.
UAGGGAAUAUUGCACAAUGAGCGAAAGCUUGAUGCAGCAACGCCGCGUGCGCGAUGACGGCCUUCGGGUUGUAAAGCGCUUUUCGGGGAGAUGAGGAAGGACAGUAUCCCCGGAAUAAGUCUCGGCUAACUACGUGCCAGCAGCCGCGGUAACACGUAGGAGGCAAGCGUUAUCCGAAUUUACUGGGCGUAAAGCGCGUGCAGGCGGUUCGGUAAGUUGGAUGUGAAAUCUCCCGGCUCAACUGGGAGGGGACGUUCAAUACUGUAGGAAUUGAGGACGAGAGAGGGAGGGGGAAGUGCCGGUGUAGUGGUGAAAUGCGUAGAUGUCGGGAGGAACACCAGUGGCGAAAGGGGCCUCCUGGAUAGUUCCUGACGCUCAGACGCGAAAGCUAGGGGAGCG